AGUGAACGCUGGCGGUAGGCCUAACACAUGCAAGUCGAACGGCAGCACAGUAAGAGCUUGCUCUUACGGGUGGCGAGUGGCGGACGGGUGAGGAAUACAUCGGAAUCUACUUUUUCGUGGGGGAUAACGUAGGGAAACUUACGCUAAUACCGCAUACGACCUACGGGUGAAAGCAGGGGAUCUUCGGACCUUUCGCGAUUGAAUGAGCCGAUGUCGGAUUAGCUAGUUGGCGAGGUAAAGGCCCACCAAGGCGACGAUCCGUAGCUGGUCUGAGAGGAUGAUCGGCCACACUGGAACUGAGACACGGUCCAGACUCCUACGGGAGGCAGCAGUGGGGAAUAUUGGACAAUGGGCGCAAGCCUGAUCCAGCCAUACCGCGUGGGUGAAGAAGGCCUUCGGGUUGUAAAGCCCUUUUGUUGGGAAAGAAAAGCAGCAGGUUAAUACCCCGCUGUUCUGACGGUACCCAAAGAAUAAGCACCGGCUAACUUCGUG
RNAcentral lists this ribosomal RNA (492 nucleotides) under uncultured bacterium. RNAcentral describes it as "partial 16S ribosomal RNA". It matches the Rfam family "Bacterial small subunit ribosomal RNA", at positions 29 to 507 of the family's 1533-position model. The record is from RNAcentral.